GGCUCAGUGGUCUAGGGGUAUGAUUUUCGUACGAGAGGUCCCGGGUUCAAAUCCCGGCUGAGCCC
This is a non-coding RNA of Rhamnusium bicolor, 65 nucleotides long. Lineage: Eukaryota; Metazoa; Arthropoda; Insecta; Coleoptera; Cerambycidae. The record is from the annotation of a GenBank genome assembly.